GAUGAACGCUGGCGGCGUGCCUAAUACAUGCAAGUCGAGCGAACGGACGGGGAGCUUGCUUCUCUGAUGUUAGCGGCGGACGGGUGAGUAACACGUGGAUAACCUACCUAUAAGACGGGGAUAACUUCGGGAAACCGGAGCUAAUACCGGAUAAUAUUUUGAACCGCAGUGUUCAAAAGUGAGAGACGGUCUUGCGGUCACUUAUAGAUGGAUCCGCGCUGCAUUAGCUAGUUGGUAAGGUAACGGCUUACCAAGGCAACGAUGCAUAGCCGACCUGAGAGGGUGAUCGGCCACACUGGAACUGAGACACGGUCCAGACUCCUACGGGAGGCAGCAGUAGGGAAUCUUCCGCAAUGGGCGAAAGCCUGACGGAGCAACGCCGCGUGAGUGAUGAAGGUCUUCGGAUCGUAAAACUCUGUUAUUAGGGAAGAACAGAUGUGUAAGUAACUGUGCACAUCUUGACGGUACCUAAUCAGAAAGCCACGGCUAACUACGUG
RNAcentral lists this ribosomal RNA (497 nucleotides) under uncultured bacterium. Its description in RNAcentral is "partial 16S ribosomal RNA". It matches the Rfam family "Bacterial small subunit ribosomal RNA", at positions 28 to 507 of the family's 1533-position model. The record is from RNAcentral.